Molecule: microRNA precursor, 77 nt
Filed under: Rhodnius prolixus
Lineage: Eukaryota; Metazoa; Arthropoda; Insecta; Hemiptera; Reduviidae
Description: let-7 microRNA precursor family
Rfam family: let-7 microRNA precursor family
About the family: This family represents the microRNAs (miRNA) let-7 and mir-98. let-7 was identified from a study of developmental timing in C. elegans, and was later shown to be part of a much larger class of non-coding RNAs termed miRNAs. The extents of the hairpin precursors are not generally known and are estimated based on hairpin prediction. The products are thought to have regulatory roles through complementarity to mRNA.
Source: Rfam by way of RNAcentral
UUGGGGUGAGGUAGUAGGUUGUAUAGUAAAGCACUACACCUAUUCUCGGAGACUGUACAGCCUGCUAACUUUCCCUA